RNAcentral lists this ribosomal RNA (1130 nucleotides) under uncultured bacterium. RNAcentral describes it as "bacterial SSU rRNA". It matches the Rfam family "Bacterial small subunit ribosomal RNA", at positions 254 to 1399 of the family's 1533-position model. The record is from RNAcentral.
GAGGUAACGGCCCACCAAGGCGACGAUCAGUUAGCCGGACUGAGUGGUUGGCCGGCCACAUUGGGACUGAGAUACGGCCCAGACUCCUACGGGAGGCAGCAGUGGGGAAUAUUGGGCAAUGGACGCAAGUCUGACCCAGCAACGCCGCGUGAAGGAAGAAGGCUUUCGGGUUGUAAACUUCUUUUAAGGGGGAAGAGUAGAAGACGGUACCCCUUGAAUAAGCCACGGCUAACUACGUGCCAGCAGCCGCGGUAAUACGUAGGUGGCAAGCGUUGUCCGGAUUUACUGGGUGUAAAGGGCGUGCAGCCGGAGAGACAAGUCAGAUGUGAAAUCCACGGGCUCAACCCGUGAACUGCAUUUGAAACUGUUUCCCUUGAGUGUCGGAGAGGUAAUCGGAAUUCCUUGUGUAGCGGUGAAAUGCGUAGAUAUAAGGAAGAACACCAGUGGCGAAGGCGGAUUACUGGACGAUAACUGACGGUGAGGCGCGAAAGCGUGGGGAGCAAACAGGAUUAGAUACCCUGGUAGUCCACGCUGUAAACGAUUCGAUACUAGGUGUGGCGGGGACUGGCCCCCCUGCGUGCCGGAGUUAACACAAUAAGUAUCGCACCUGGGGAGUACGAUCGCAAGGUUGAAACUCAAAGGAAUUGACGGGGGCCCGCACAAGCGGUGGAUUAUGUGGUUUAAUUCGAAGCAACGCGAAGAACCUUACCAGGGCUUGACAUCCUACUAACGAAGUAGAGAUACAUUAGGUGCCCUUCGGGGAAAGUAGAGACAGGUGGUGCAUGGUUGUCGUCAGCUCGUGUCGUGAGAUGUUGGGUUAAGUCCCGCAACGAGCGCAACCUCUAUUGUUAGUUGCUACGCAAGAGCACUCUAGCGAGACUGCCGUUGACAAAACGGAGGAAGGCGGGGACGACGUCAAAUCAUCAUGCCCCUUAUGUCCUGGGCUACACACGUAAUACAAUGGCGGUCAACAAAGGGAUGCAAAGCCGCGAGGCAGAGCGAACCCCCAAAAGCCGUCCCAGUUCGGAUCGCAGGCUGCAACCCGCCUGCGUGAAGUCGGAAUCGCUAGUAAUCGCGGAUCAGCAUGCCGCGGUGAAUACGUUCCCGGGCCUUGCACUCACCGCCCGUCA